GAUGAACGCUAGCGAUAGGCUUAACACAUGCAAGUCGAGGGGCAGCAUUAUUUUAGCUUGCUAAGAUAGAUGGCGACCGGCGCACGGGUGCGUAACGCGUAUGCAACCUGCCUGUAAUUAGGGAAUAACCCGGUGAAAGUCGGACUAAUACCCUAUAUUCUUCUUUCUCCGCAUGGGGGAGGACGGAAAGAUUUAUUGAUUACAGAUGGGCAUGCGUCCCAUUAGCUAGUUGGUAAGGUAACGGCUUACCAAGGCAACGAUGGGUAGGGGGACUGAGAGGUUGACCCCCCACACUGGUACUGAGACACGGACCAGACUCCUACGGGAGGCAGCAGUGAGGAAUAUUGGUCAAUGGGCGAGAGCCUGAACCAGCCAAGUCGCGUGAAGGACGACGGUUCUAUGGAUUGUAAACUUCUUUUGUAGAGGAAUAAUGGCAGCUACGUGUAGCUGAGAUGCAUGUACUCUACGAAUAAGUAUCGG
This 480-nucleotide ribosomal RNA is filed under the name Porphyromonas endodontalis. RNAcentral describes it as "bacterial SSU rRNA". It matches the Rfam family "Bacterial small subunit ribosomal RNA", at positions 28 to 496 of the family's 1533-position model. The record is from RNAcentral. Lineage: Bacteria; Pseudomonadati; Bacteroidota; Bacteroidia; Bacteroidales; Porphyromonadaceae.